CCCAUCGGUGUUUCUGUUUGUCUCAGGGCAGCAUUUCAGUCUUUCUCCCCCAACUCCUCGCAGCCAUUCAGGACUCCAUCGAUGAGAUCCCUCAAGUUCAGGAGUUCUAAGCUGCCAUAGGGUUAGAGCCCAUCAGCUUAGUGAGCCUGAAUGGCUGAAGGUUCCUCCAGCAGAGUCCGGAUGAAUCUGCUCCUCCCAGGCUGCAAUUCAGUUAAAUUCUAUUCAAUAAAUUUUCUGCCCCCAAGAAGUGGCGGCUACCGGAAGAGAAGCUCUGCGUAUUUGCAAGUAACCCUGUUAGCAGUGCAAGCUGGGUGUGCUGGAUGAGUGUUCCAGGUGGUAUUUGAGGAACACCUUCUUUUUGCAAGUUCACAGAAUAACAGAGGGCCAUUUCACCAUAACAAGAGCAUGCAAUGCAUGAUGUAACCACCAGGUGGCAUCGCACUAAAGCCACAGCCCUAGUGCCUUCAUCAGUAUCCAGGAGAAGCGAAUCAGGGGGCAUUGAUCACCAUUGUCCCACAGAGGCCCCUCAUUUACUCUACUUCCUCCGAGGAAGCAUGAAGACAAGGUCCAACUCAAGACCUUUAAGCAAUUUGGGUGCAGGAGAAUGAGGAGACGUGUUCAGCAUGGCAAGUUGCACCUGGGUUUCCAAGGAGGCAUGUGGGGUCUCACUCCCCAACCCGCUGCCGUACCAGCCUUUGGUGCCGCUUACAUUUGACAGCAAAUGGAUAGCUGUGUUUUUCUUCUUGGUUUGCAGCCAUUUUCCUGAGAAACCCACCCCAAAUCCUGUUUAACCUCCGAGAGAGCAGAGUGGUUCUGGGGAAGACCUCUUCAGUGUACAAUAAAUCAUGAUCUAUCAUUGUGAUCUAAGAGAUGUCCAACGAGAGCAUCUCUGGAGAGGUUCUCUGCUAAGUCAGCACUAUGGCUUAGAAGGGACAAACAAAGCCCACCAGUGUGGAGAAGAUAAAGCAUCCCACCUUUCCCCCACAGGAGAACUGUCCAGCAUCUUGUUUAAUUGCUCCAAAACUCUGCUCUGACCUCAUAUUAUUCUAGUGCUUCCGUCUGUCUCUCUGAGAGGAGGGAGGUCACAGAUGUGAAACACUAAACAAAACCUGGGAAAAGUUGCCAUGAAUAAUGUUGUUUCACCAACGCUCCUGGUAAGCCUUCUGAGACUAUAAGGAGGCAGGUCUUUGGCCACUUUCAUCACCAGCGGAUUUUUCCUGGCGCCUUGCUAAAUCCUGAUUAGUAACUUCCCUUCUUGAUCCUUCAAUCCUAG
Molecule: long non-coding RNA, 1273 nt
Organism: Antechinus flavipes (yellow-footed antechinus)
Lineage: Eukaryota; Metazoa; Chordata; Mammalia; Dasyuromorphia; Dasyuridae
Exons: 4
Source: RefSeq, a predicted model, not a curated record